Molecule: non-coding RNA, 194 nt
Organism: Sus scrofa (pig)
Lineage: Eukaryota; Metazoa; Chordata; Mammalia; Artiodactyla; Suidae
Source: RefSeq, a predicted model, not a curated record
CGGCGCCUCAUCACAAAUUGAGAGACUAUCUACUUUUUCUGGCUGGAAGUGAGGAGGCUUAGAAGGAGCUACUCAUCGUGGAGACAGGUUGGAAUUUUUUGGCAAGGAAUGGUAUUCCAUGAGGAGACCCAUCAUAUCAACGUCUCUCUUUGGUGAUAUUAGCAGCUUAAUAAAUGCUCAAGUCCAUUCAUUCA